UAUUUUUUUCUCACCGAUUCCCUUCAAGGUGGCUUGUUUUGGUGAGGACAUAGUAGUUCCCCAGCAUGUCUUUUCCGUCUUUCAGCCACGUCACUUUGGGGGCAGGGUGGGCAUCAAUGAGAAUGGUAAACUCUGUCUCCUCCAAAAGGCUCACAAACUCCACCGCGAGGAUCCCACUGUGGUCCAGCACCAGAAAGGAAUUCUCCUCUGAAGACACAGAACAAGUAAAGAAAGAAUGAGCUGGUGAUUGUGGAUGGAAGCUGGUGAAGAGUGAGAGAAGAUGGGAAAUGGAGGCAGAGUGACCGAGGGGGUUGAUGGGAAACUAAGGCCUGACCCACACAUCUGUUGAAGCCAUCCCAUAAAACAAGGCAGCUGAUGUUGAAAGCAGAGGUGAAGCUUAACAGUUGGACGGUAGAAAAUGACUUCCACACACCACUGAGGGCACCUUGUGCACAUAUGUGAAACCUUGACCACUUUACCUAAAUGACGGGACGGAAAACUUACCGAAGACGGUGACGGCCACGCUGCUGACUCUGACGUCUCCGCUGAUUUCGUGCGUGAUGGAGCACUCGUAGGUGCCACUGUCCUGAGCGGUGGCUUUGAGGAUAAAGAGGGUGUAGGUGACCCGGUCGGGAAAAGACUCUUUCAUCUGAACUGCAUCCGUAGCCUGAGAGUACAGAGGAACGGAUGGAGCCACUGCUGGUGGAAACCCAGGCCAGCGGGUGCGAUGCAGGUGAUGCUGAACGGCUGCCCGGCUCUCAGGUUUUCCUCGCUGGCUUUUACCUCCAGGUUGAAAUCCUCCAUCUCUGCGGGGGCUACGGAGAGAGCAGAUAUCAGCACGGUCAUCCGGCAGGUCCCAGGAUAGUGACGGCUUCAUUACCAUGAAGUCAUUUCUCAUGGAGUGGUGGCUCAAUGGGGCAGGACGGAGGCGACCUUACGGAGAACCAGCAGUACAGUGCAGCAGCAGCAGCAGCGGCGGCCCUCCACCAUUCAACCCCCUUUUCAGAUCUUGAUUGUUGGCUCCUACUGCAGCUUGGUAACCACGAAAUGCAAACGGCGAUGGCGUUAAGAAGCACAAACACAUCUGCCUCCGCCCUGCGGCCACGUGAGAGGUUUCACUUCAUAAUGACCCCCUGGGACCAUUUCAUCUACAGUGGCGCUCGACAUAAUGAGUCAAUCAGAGAUCGGCCUCCGGCAGAGGCUUCGUAUCGGAAAGCUCCGACUUCUCGCAGCUGUUUCCCUUUGGUGAGGCCCAGUGCAACGUUACAGAAGCAAACACUUAGUGGGGUUACUGCGGAAAACUGCGACAUUUAACUUUAAUCGCGAGCCAUCUUUCUUUCUUCAUGGGCUUUCUAAAAUCAUUUAACUGUCACACAACUAUAACAACUUCCGAUGUUCAAAUCUCCAGUUUGUUGCGAUAGAGUUUAACAUCUAAAGUCAUGUUUACUUUUCAUCACAUUUGCCUUCAUAAGAUUAAUGCUGCCGGUGCCGGCCUGAGGUGGAUAUCUUGCCGUCAAUUAAAACCCAUACUACACCAGAGCUGAGGUUGACCCCUGACCUGUGACCCUAAUUUAACUCAGCAGUGUACUACAAGGAGAUAAACACUCCCAGUUGCCGAGGCUCUCAAUGGCCUUUGACUGAAGGGGAGGAGGAGAGUUCAUUGUGGAAGCGGGAGAGGAAGAAUACUCAAGACUCUUGUAGUACACUUGUAGGAAGUCACGUGAGACUGGUGCAUCGGCCAGUAAUAAUAAUAAUAAUAAAAACUUUGCCGGUUAAUGGAAAAUUCACCAUGUUUUAAAUGAAAAUCAAGGAGGCUAUUUUGGGAUCUCAUCAUCAUUUGAGAUUAAUUGCAGUGUCGAGAAGAAUAUUGUUGUUGCUCUAGAAUGUAUUCAGCCUUGGUGUUUGCUCUUCCCCUCUGUGUUUAUUUUCAGUCUUCGCUGGGAACCCCACUGUGUCAGCCAGGUUAUUCCUGCCUGACUUGUUGUGGCGGUAUAAAUCAUACAAUGUGUGUACAGAGAGAAAGAAAAAGGACAAAUCACCUGACACAUUCAUGAUUUGCUCUCUUAUUUAAAUAGCGACACUGGGUUUGGGAUUGGAAUUACAGAUUACCACGCAGCUCAGCUGUCAUUAUGGUCGGUCUUAUUUGUUCAGUCGGUCUACUCUUUGAUUGGAUAAUGAUACGCUCAGCUGAAUGGAUGUAUAGACGAACAAAGAAACAUUUCACUUUCCAUAUACACCAGCAAUUAUCUAUCCAUGCUUCAUGCACACUGAUGAACUUUAAUCUUUCUUCUAACAAAACAAAGAGAGAAAGAGAAAAUUUCAGGAGCUCACAUCACAGCUUCACAUAGACUGGGACUUUAUGAGUUUCAACAUGUUCGGUGUGAUGCAACCUCUUUACCACAGGUUAGAGGUGUUGUGUGCACAUCCAUCCCAUCCCGAGGAAGAUUUUUGUUGGGGCAAAAUGUUGCUGAUAAAAGCUUGGAGCUCUGUAUCCUCGUAAACUCAUCACCAUUAUCAAACUGACAUGAAUCCAUAAGAGAUAAAGAGCUAAUGACCAUGUUCAUUUACAGUAUUCUUCACUUGUACCUCGCAUCAUAGACAAUUAUGGAAGCAGUUUUGAAUUAAAUUAAAAAAAAACUAUUACUUCAGUGACUUUGGUGAGUAAAUUGUACUUGUUAAAUGCCUUUUAACAAGUACAAAAAAAACAUUUGAACUCUGUUCCACUUGGAUGGUCGAUUCUCUUUAUCUAUUAUUCAUCCAGUUUGUAUUCUGUCGGUGUGUUCUGAUCUUUACUUCUCAAACUUCAAAGAGGUUCUCUUUAACUCUUUAUCCUGA
This is a long non-coding RNA of Scophthalmus maximus (turbot), 2835 nucleotides long. RefSeq lists it as uncharacterized. The transcript has 7 exons. Lineage: Eukaryota; Metazoa; Chordata; Actinopteri; Pleuronectiformes; Scophthalmidae. The record is from RefSeq and is a predicted model, not a curated record.